This 497-nucleotide ribosomal RNA is filed under the name uncultured bacterium. RNAcentral's name for it is "partial 16S ribosomal RNA". It matches the Rfam family "Bacterial small subunit ribosomal RNA", at positions 28 to 507 of the family's 1533-position model. The record is from RNAcentral.
GAUGAACGCUGGCGGCGUGCCUAAUACAUGCCAGUCGAGCGAACAGACGAGGAGCUUGCUCCUCUGACGUUAGCGGCGGACGGGUGAGUAACACGUGGAUAACCUACCUAUAAGACUGGGAUAACUUCGGGAAACCGGAGCUAAUACCGGAUAACAUGUUGAACCGCAUGGUUCAACAGUGAAAGACGGUCUUGCUGUCACUUAUAGAUGGAUCCGCGCCGCAUUAGCUAGUUGGUAAGGUAACGGCUUACCAAGGCAACGAUGCGUAGCCGACCUGAGAGGGUGAUCGGCCACACUGGAACUGAGACACGGUCCAGACGCCUACGGGAGGCAGCAGUAGGGAAUCUUCCGCAAUGGGCGAAAGCCUGACGGAGCAACGCCGCGUGAGUGAAGAAGGUCUUCGGAUCGGAAAACUCUGUUAUUAGGGAAGAACAAAUGUGUAAGUAACUAUGCACGUCUUGACGGUACCUAAUCAGAAAGCCACGGCUAACUACGUG